ACUCAAAGGAAUUGACGGGGGCCCGCACAAGCGGCGGAGCAUGCGGAUUAAUUCGAUGCAACGCGAAGAACCUUACCUGGGUUUGACAUAGGAAGUAAUCCAUCAGAGAUGGUGGGUCCGUAAGGGCUUUCUACAGGUGGUGCAUGGCUGUCGUCAGCUCGUGUCGUGAGAUGUUGGGUUAAGUCCCGCAACGAGCGCAACCCUCGUUCCAUGUUGCCAGCAGCAUCUCGUCCUUGUGGCGGGGUGGCUGGGGACUCAUGGGAGACUGCCGGGGUCAACUCGGAGGAAGGUGGGGAUGACGUCAAGUCAUCAUGCCCCUUAUGUCCAGGGCUUCACGCAUGCUACAAUGGCCGGUACAAAGGGCUGCGAUCCCGUGAGGGGGAGCGAAUCCCAAAAAGCCGGUCUCAGUUCGGAUUGGGGUCUGCAACUCGACCCCAUGAAGUCGGAGUCGCUAGUAAUCGCAGAUCAGCAACGCUGCGGUGAAUACGUUCCCGGGCCUUGUACACACCGCCCGU
RNAcentral lists this ribosomal RNA (515 nucleotides) under uncultured bacterium. Its description in RNAcentral is "partial 16S ribosomal RNA". It matches the Rfam family "Bacterial small subunit ribosomal RNA", at positions 899 to 1397 of the family's 1533-position model. The record is from RNAcentral.